RNAcentral lists this ribosomal RNA (562 nucleotides) under Leotiomycetes sp. ZZ-2. RNAcentral's name for it is "eukaryotic LSU rRNA". The stretch from base 220 to 373 matches the Rfam family "5.8S ribosomal RNA". The record is from RNAcentral. Lineage: Eukaryota; Fungi; Ascomycota; Leotiomycetes.
AAGUCGUAACAAGGUUUCCGUAGGUGAACCUGCGGAAGGAUCAUUACAGUAGUCACCCGGGUUGCCGCAAGGCCUCCCGGGUAACCUACCACCCUUUGUUUAUUACACUUUGUUGCUUUGGCAGGCCUGCCCUCGGGCUGCUGGCUCCGGCCGGCGAGCGUCUGCCAGAGGACCUAAACUCUGUUUGUCUAUACUGUCUGAGUACUAUAUAAUAGUUAAAACUUUCAACAACGGAUCUCUUGGUUCUGGCAUCGAUGAAGAACGCAGCGAAAUGCGAUAAGUAAUGUGAAUUGCAGAAUUCAGUGAAUCAUCGAAUCUUUGAACGCACAUUGCGCCCCCUGGUAUUCCGGGGGGCAUGCCUGUCCGAGCGUCAUUACAACCCUCAAGCUCAGCUUGGUGUUGGGCCCCGCCGCCCCGGCGGGCCCUAAAGUCAGUGGCGGUGCCGUCCGGCUCCGAGCGUAGUAAUUCUUCUCGCUCUGGAGGCCCGGUCGUGUGCUCGCCAGCAACCCCCAAUUUUUUUCAGGUUGACCUCGGAUCAGGUAGGGAUACCCGCUGAACUUAA